Tyto alba (common barn owl) is the source of this 518-nucleotide long non-coding RNA. RefSeq lists it as uncharacterized. The record is from RefSeq and is a predicted model, not a curated record. NCBI's taxonomy places the organism in Eukaryota, Metazoa, Chordata, Aves, Strigiformes, Tytonidae. The transcript has 6 exons.
UGCAGAUCGAGGAGAUGCGCCCCAAAGAGUGACGGAGGAGGUGAGCGGAGGGCUGUGAGAAGAUGGAGAGCCACAAGCAAAGUAGGAUUUUGGCACCGGAGGCAGCUUGGGCAAGGUGGCACGCGAGCCUUGACGUGACAACUGGAAACGGCAGCGGCAGGGCAGGUGAAGGGCCGAGGUGCCGCAGAUGGCCGCGGAGGGGCCGAGCCGCACGCAGACGGACAGUGUGAGAAGGUGCUUUGGGAGCCGCCUUUGGGAUGGGAUGAGCGUUUGAAGCGAGCCGGGGUAGUCGCAAGGAGGAUCGUGGGUGACUCGUUAGAAGCGCAAGGGUAACUUUGUCUCUCGGUAUCUUAGGUAACGCCAGCGAUGACGGCUGCACCAUCUGACUCUGCAAAGAGCCCGUGAAGAGGAAGGCGGCAACUGCAGGAACGUGCUAGUUAGCUGCCGUGCUGCUUUUGUCGAGGAUGGAAUCGGACCUCCGUCCCUCUGAAAGCUAAGUCGAGCGAACGGGGCCGAGA